RNAcentral lists this ribosomal RNA (295 nucleotides) under uncultured bacterium. Its description in RNAcentral is "partial 16S ribosomal RNA". It matches the Rfam family "Bacterial small subunit ribosomal RNA", at positions 29 to 313 of the family's 1533-position model. The record is from RNAcentral.
AACGAACGCUGGCGGCGCGCCUAAUACAUGCAAGUCGAGCGAGAAGGUGUAGCAAUACACUUGUAAAGCGGCGAACGGGUGAGGAAUGCAUGGGUAACCUACCCUCGAGUGGGGAAUAACUAGCCGAAAGGUUAGCUAAUACCGCAUACGUUUCCGGAACUUCGGUUUUCGGAAAGAAAGCAAUACCGUGGGUAUUGCGCUCCUGGAUGGGCUCAUGUCCUAUCAGCUUGUUGGUGAGGUAACGGCUCACCAAGGCUUCGACGGGUAGCUGGUCUGAGAGGACGAUCAGCCACAC